This 405-nucleotide ribosomal RNA is filed under the name uncultured bacterium. Its description in RNAcentral is "partial 16S ribosomal RNA". It matches the Rfam family "Bacterial small subunit ribosomal RNA", at positions 30 to 526 of the family's 1533-position model. The record is from RNAcentral.
AUUGAACGCUGGCGGCAGGCUUAACACAUGCAAGUCGAACGAGUGGCGGACGGGUGAGUAAUGCUUGGGAAUCUGGCUUAUGGAGGGGGAUAACGACGGGAAACUGUCGCUAAUACCGCAUACUAUCAGAUGAGCCUAGGUCGGAUUAGCUAGUUGGUGGGGUAAAGGCCUACCAAGGCGACGAUCCGUAACUGGUCUGAGAGGAUGAUCAGUCAAACUGGAACGGAGACACGGUCCAGACGCCUACGGGAGGCAGCAGUGGGGAAUAUUGGACAAUGGGCGAAAGCUGAUCCAGCCAUGCCGCGUGAAUGAAGAAGGCCUUCGGGUUGUAAAGUUCUUUCGGUGACGAGGCGUUAAUCACAGAAGAAGCACCGGCUAACUCCGUGCCAGCCGCCGCGGUAAUAC